Molecule: unclassified non-coding RNA, 698 nt
Filed under: Hevea brasiliensis (rubber tree)
Lineage: Eukaryota; Viridiplantae; Streptophyta; Magnoliopsida; Malpighiales; Euphorbiaceae
Source: RNAcentral
UCCUUUAGGAAAAACCUCAUCUUCAUCCGGACAGGGCCUAACCUAAGCGUGAGACCGGUAAGGAAGAUAAAGAAAUUCUUUUCCAAUGAGAAAAAAGAGUAAAAAAGGUUAUCAUAAGUGAGCCGGUAAGGCGAGAUUGCUCGAGACGAAAGGGGCAGUGGAAUCAUCAGCCGAAGCCUAUAAAGAAAUUGGUAACCAAGUCUUCUAAAGCUGGAGGUCUUCUCAUUAGGGCAUCAAUUUCAUGUAAAAUCACCCUUCUUCUUCCCUUACGGGGCGCUAACUAUCAGGGGAUGGGGGACAAGCCAGUCUGCCCAAGCAAUCAAGUUACAAACCGAAGCUCUUUUCUUUGGCUAGGAAAGCCGGGAGAAGACGGACUACUAUAUAGGAAAGCGAGUGGGCCAAUAGAUGAGGAGCAGAAAGGGAAAGAAAAAGAAGAAAGCGGGCUAAGAAAGAGACCCUUGCUUUCGGGCAAUGAUUCCGACUUUCAGAAAGAAAGAACGGAGAGUGAGAAGAAAGAAAUCACUCUACUUACCUUCAGUAGGACAGGAAAGUUCUCUUUUCAACCGCUAAAAAGUAUACUAGAAGGGGAGAAGUCGACUCACUUCACUCCGAUUGACCCAAGGAAAAUCAUAACUGCAAAUAGCGUAUAAGAGAGAAGGGUAAAGCCCUAGCCAACUAUCUUUCCUUUGUGGUGUCAG